GAUGAACGCUGGCGGCGUGCCUAAUACAUGCCAGUCGAGCGAACAGACGAGGGGCUUGCUCCUCUGACGUUAGCGGCGGACGGGUGAGUAACACGUGGAUAACCUACCUAUAAGACUGGGAUAACUUCGGGAAACCGGAGCUAAUACCGGAUAAUAUAUUGAACCGCAUGGUUCAAUAGUGAAAGACGGUUUUGCUGUCACUUAUAGAUGGAUCCGCGCCGCAUUAGCUAGUUGGUAAGGUAACGGCUUACCAAGGCAACGAUGCGUAGCCGACCUGAGAGGGUGAUCGGCCACACUGGAACUGAGACACGGUCCAGACUCCUACGGGAGGCAGCAGUAGGGAAUCUUCCGCAAUGGGCGAAAGCCUGACGGAGCAACGCCGCGUGAGUGAUGAAGGUCUUCGGAUCGUAAAACUCUGUUAUUAGGGAAGAACAAAUGUGUAAGUAACUAUGCACGUCUUGACGGUACCUAAUCAGAAAGCCACGGCUAACUACGUG
RNAcentral lists this ribosomal RNA (497 nucleotides) under uncultured bacterium. RNAcentral's name for it is "partial 16S ribosomal RNA". It matches the Rfam family "Bacterial small subunit ribosomal RNA", at positions 28 to 507 of the family's 1533-position model. The record is from RNAcentral.